AGUCCCAUUGGGAGAGGGACAACAGGUGGAAACGGGUGCUAAUACCCCGUAUGCCGGAAGGUGAAAGGGAAUAAUCCGCCCGAUGAGGUGCUCAUGUCGUAUCAUGUGGUUGGUGGGGUAACUGCUUACCAAGGCGACUACGGGUAGCCGGCCUGAGAGGGUGAACGUCCACACUGGAACUGAGAUACGGUCCAGACUCCUACGCGAGGCAGCAGUGGGGAAUAUUGGGCAAUGGAGGAAACUCUGACCCAGCGACGCCGCGUGAGGGAAGACGGCCUUCGGGUUGUAAACCUCUUUGGUACGGGAAGAAGGAGGUGACGGUACUGUACGAAUAAGUCCCGGCUAACUACGUGCCAGCAGCCGCGGUAAUACGUAGGGGACGAGCGUUGUCCGGAAUUACUGGGCGUAAAGGGCGCGCAGUCUGUGAUGCAAGUCAGCUGUGAAAUAUCUGGGUUUAACCCGGAUAUGCGGUUGAGACUGCAGUGCUGGAGUGCUGUAGAGGCAAGUGGAUUCCCAGUGUAGCGGUGAAAUGUGUAGAUAUUGGGAAGACACCGGUGAGAAGGCACUGUUG
This 571-nucleotide ribosomal RNA is filed under the name uncultured bacterium. Its description in RNAcentral is "bacterial SSU rRNA". It matches the Rfam family "Bacterial small subunit ribosomal RNA", at positions 125 to 728 of the family's 1533-position model. The record is from RNAcentral.